Cricetulus griseus (Chinese hamster) is the source of this 721-nucleotide non-coding RNA. NCBI's taxonomy places the organism in Eukaryota, Metazoa, Chordata, Mammalia, Rodentia, Cricetidae. The record is from RefSeq and is a predicted model, not a curated record.
CUGGGGAGCUAGGCCUGGCAGCUGCCAACAAUGAUGCACUGGUGUGUGUCAGAGAUGUGACCUGAGCCACCCAGAGACAGAGACUGGAGACAUGCUGAGUGACACAGUGACAACUGGCCUUGUAAGGUGCUAAGUCCUGAGAAUAUGGAAUGAAGAGUUACUGCCAUGGCCUUUGACAGCAUUGUGUAGUUGGGAAGGCCCAUCUCACACAGAGAAUGACACAGGAAUGACACAGGAAAAGCAACAGCCACCAACCGUACCCAAGGAGGACUGAGAGACCUGGUGUGACCCACAGCUGCAACAUUGUAGUCAUAUUGUCAACAUGGAUACCUGGCUCCAGGAGGCAGCACCAAGAGGCCAUCAGAGAAAUCUCAACCUUGGGAUUUGGGGGAAAGAGAAAUAGUGAAAGGAGGUUACAUUUUAGUAUGUGUUGAUGAUGUGUAUGGGAUGAAAGCAUGAGCAGAAAUAGGGGAAUGUCUUGUGAUAAUUAUCCCAGCUGUCAGAUACAAAAACAUCUGAACACAACACGUUAGUGGCCACACCCCUUUGGGCGUGGCUUCUGAUGCAGGAACUGGAAGGUAGGGAAGACUGGGGCAGGCUCUGUUGGGUCGAGAAUCAGAUCCAGAGGGCAGAGACUCCAUCUUCUGGAGCAGAAAGGCUUCGGUGGUUCUUUAUUAUUAUCUGUGUAAGUUUUUCCUCAAUAAAACACCCAUUUACCAUU